This 441-nucleotide ribosomal RNA is filed under the name uncultured bacterium. RNAcentral's name for it is "partial 16S ribosomal RNA". It matches the Rfam family "Bacterial small subunit ribosomal RNA", at positions 338 to 795 of the family's 1533-position model. The record is from RNAcentral.
CCUACGUGUGGCAGCAGUGGGGGAUCUUGCACAAUGGGGGGAACCCUGAUGCAGCGACGCCGCGUGGGUGAAGGAGUGCUUCCGCAUGUAUAGGCCUAUCGGCAGGGAAGAAGCAAGACGGUACCAGACUAAGAAGCCCCGGCUAACGACGUGCAAGCAGUCGCGGUAAUCCGUAGGGGGCGAGCGUUAUCCGGAUUCACGGGGAGUAAAGGGAGGGUAGAAGGCCAUGCAAGCCAGGGGUGAAAGCCCGGGGCCCAACCCCGGGACUGCCCUUGGAACUGCCUGGCUGGAGUGCGGGAGGGGCAGGCGGAAUUCCUGGUGUAGCGGUGAAAUGCGUAGAUAUCAGGAGGAACACCAGCGGCGAAGGCGACCUGCUGGACCGCGACUGACGUUGAGGCUCGAAAGCGUGGGGAGCGAACAGGAUUAGAUACCCUUGUAGUC